This 1289-nucleotide ribosomal RNA is filed under the name Actinomyces sp. Its description in RNAcentral is "bacterial SSU rRNA". It matches the Rfam family "Bacterial small subunit ribosomal RNA". Lineage: Bacteria; Bacillati; Actinomycetota; Actinomycetes; Actinomycetales; Actinomycetaceae. The record is from RNAcentral.
UGUUUGGAGAGUUUGAUCCUGGCUCAGGACGAACGCUGGCGGCGUGCUUAACACAUGCAAGUCGAACGGGAUCUGCGUGGCCUUUGUGGUUGUGUGGUGAGAGUGGCGAACGGGUGAGUAACACGUGAGUAACCUGCCUUUUUCUUUGGGAUAACGCUCAGAAAUGGGUGCUAAUACUGGAUGUUCUGCGCUUUCCGCAUGGGGGGUGUGGGAAAGGGGCCUUUGUGGUUUCUGGAGGGAGAUGGGCUCGCGGCUUAUCAGCUUGUUGGUGGGGUGAUGGCUUACCAAGGCUUUGACGGGUAGCCGGCCUGAGAGGGUGGGCGGUCACAUUGGGACUGAGAUACGGCCCAGACUCCUACGGGAGGCAGCAGUGGGGAAUUUUGCACAAUGGGGGGAACCUUGAUGCAGCGACGCCGCGUGAGGGAUGGAGGCCUUCGGGUUGUGAACCUCUUUCGCUCGUGUGCAAGCCGCUAUUUGGGUAGUGGUGAGUGUAGCGGGUAAAGAAGCGCCGGCUAACUACGUGCCAGCAGCCGCGGUAAUACGUAGGGCGCGAGCGUUGUCCGGAUUUAUUGGGCGUAAAGGGCUUGUAGGCGGUUUGUCGCGCCUGUCGUGUAAUCCUCUGGCUUAACUGGGGGUGUGCGGUGAAGGCUAAAACUCAAAGGAAUUGACGGGGGCCCGCACAAGCGGCGGAGCAUGCGGAUUAAUUCGAUGCAACGCGAAGAACCUUACCAAGGCUUGACAUGCGCCCUGAGCGCCUAGAGAUAGGUGUGCAUUUGGUUGGGGGUGUGCAGGUGGUGCAUGGUUGUCGUCAGCUCGUGUCGUGAGAUGUUGGGUUAAGUCCCGCAACGAGCGCAACCCUUGCCCUAUGUUGCCAGCGCGUUAUGGUGGGGACUCGUGGGGGACUGCCGGGGUUAACUCGGAGGAAGGUGGGGAUGACGUCAAAUCAUCAUGCCCCUUAUGUCUUGGGCUUCACGCAUGCUACAAUGGCAGGUACAGAGGGUUGCGAUGCUGUGAGGUGGAGCGAAUCCUUUAAAGCUUGUCUCAGUUCGGAUCGGGGUCUGCAAUUCGACCUCGUGAAGGUGGAGUCGCUAGUAAUCGCAGAUCAGCUACGCUGCGGUGAAUACGUUCUCGGGCCUUGUACACACCGCCCGUCACGUCACGAAAGUUGGUAACACCCGAAGCUUGUGGCUUAACCUUUUUGGGGGGAGCAGGUGACGGUGGGAUUGGCGAUUGGGACGAAGUCGUAACAAGGUAGGCGUACCGGAAGGUGCGGCUGGAUCACCUCCUUU